Molecule: long non-coding RNA, 1364 nt
Filed under: Oryctolagus cuniculus (rabbit)
Lineage: Eukaryota; Metazoa; Chordata; Mammalia; Lagomorpha; Leporidae
Description: lncRNA (ENSOCUG00000037916.1)
Source: RNAcentral
UGGGAGGUGAGGGAGGAGUAGGAGGACAGGAGCUGGUUAUAAAAGGGCAUUCAGUAUACAUCUGAAAACUAUAAUAGUUAACUGUAUGAUCAGUAAGUAUACUGAAAAUAGAUCUUUGUAAAAAUUAGGAGUGGGAAUGCGAAAGAGAGAGGAUGAUUUGAAGUAUGGGUGAGAGGGAGGGUACAGGGAGAAGUGUCACUAUGUUCCUAUAUCUGUAUCUAUAAAAUAUAUAAAACAUGCAUAGCUUAAAUAAAAUUAAAAUAAAAAAUGAAAAAAGGACAAAAAGUAUGAAAACCUCACAUUGUACCCCAUAAAUAUACAAUUAAUAUUGGUCAAUUAAAAUGAAAAAAUUAAAAGAAUUUAUUUUUUAAAUGUAUUCAGCCACUUUGUUGUCUGCUUCUAAAAUUCCCUUGCACUCGAAACACCCCAUUGACACUCACACUCUGGAAACAUAGACAGGCAUUGUGGGCAGCAGAGGGAUUAAUUGUAAUUGCUAGCUUCUUUUGAGUCCAUUUAACCAAGUAGCAGAAGCACUGUGCCUUCCUCCAUGACUCCAGGCGCCUGGCAGCAGGCAGUGUUAUAUUACUCCUGGGUAGGAUGAACUCGUGGGAGCUGCAAGAACAGCUCAUGGAGAAAAAUUACCAUUUUAUAUUUAUUACUUUGACUAGCUUGAGUGUCAUAGGAAUAGACUCCCUAAUGCAUUAGAGAGCAAUUCCCACGCAAUUUGACUCCAUUGCUUGGUAAACUAUUUUUAGGGACUGUCUCAGGCGGCUUUUAAAGGCACAUGCCAUCCCAUUUUCAAAGAUUAUUUUAGUGGUUUGUCAAGAUGAUAUAAAUAUGAAUCUCUCUCUUCAGAUUAGAGAAAUAUGGGCCAUGCUGAAAUGAAAUCUGUAUUCUUGAAACAGAUGCCCAGGUUUUCCUUGCCUGGAAUUGUUAGAAAACACCAAUGGGAUGCAACCACCAGGACUUCAAGGCUUGCGCUCAAAUCCCAACUUUUUGCUCUUAAAAGGUGUGAACAUAGAGUUGGUGGUGUGAUACCACGGGUUCAGCUGCCGCCUGAUUCCCUGGCAUCUCAUAUGGGUGCCAUUUUGGAUUCCGGAUGCUCUACUUCCAAUCCAUCUCUCUGGAAUUGCACCUGGGAAAGCAGCAGAGAUGGCCCAAGUGCUUGGGCCCCUGCACCCACGUGGGAGACUGGGAUGAAGCUCUUGCCUCCUAGCUUCAGUCUGAUCCAGCCAUGGCCAGUUCAGCCAUUUGGGGAGUGGACCAUCUGAUGGAAGACUUCAGCUUGUCUCUUCUUCUGCCUCUCCUUCUCUGUAACUCCAUCUUUUAAAUAAAUAAAUAAUUCUUCAAUAAAGGUGCGGACA